Molecule: ribosomal RNA, 253 nt
Filed under: uncultured bacterium
Lineage: Bacteria
Description: partial 16S ribosomal RNA
Rfam family: Bacterial small subunit ribosomal RNA
Source: RNAcentral
UACGUAGGGUGCAAGCGUUGUUCGGAAUCACUGGGCGUAAAGCGCACGUAGGCGGAUUUGUCAGUCAGGGGUGAAAUCCCGGGGCUCAACCUCGGAACUGCCUUUGAUACAGCAAGUCUUGAGUUCGAGAGAGGUGGGUGGAAUUCCUAGUGUAGAGGUGAAAUUCGUAGAUAUUAGGAAGAACACCGGUGGCGAAGGCGGCCCACUGGCUCGAUACUGACGCUGAGGUGCGAAAGCGUGGGGAGCAAACAGG